AUUUUGAACCAGCAGCACCAGCCGUCGUUAUUAUUACAGAAUAGACAUGAUGGAACUGGCGCAAAUGCAAGUCUGCAUUUAUUUGAGUCCAGGAGAGAAGGGACCGAGCAAGACGCGCAGUUAAUAAACUGCGGAAGAUAAGAUAUAUUCGCCCAAACUAUCAACAACUGGACCAUAAAUUUCUAUAACGUGGAAUCCUGUUUUUUUAUUUUAUCAAAUGCUUUUGAAACCGGGUAACGUUUGUGCCUUUUUAAUUGCUAUUUCAACCGACGGUUAAUCCAAUUUCUGAACGCUACCCGUGCAAGGAAGGAACGUGGAGUUUGGCAUCGCGUCCCUCUCAGCUGAAUUUUCAAUGAGCGCCACAGAGAAUUCCACCGAGGAUUCCAAAUUGGAAUCUGUCAUACAGGUGUGUUUGCUGUGAGUGUGAAAUGAGGGUUCCACACUGUUCAAAAUAGUGUCAUGGGUGACUGCUGAGACACCACCUGGUCUCCUGGCAGCAAAUACAGCCCCAGCACCUAGCUG
This is a long non-coding RNA of Hypomesus transpacificus, 522 nucleotides long. RefSeq lists it as uncharacterized. NCBI's taxonomy places the organism in Eukaryota, Metazoa, Chordata, Actinopteri, Osmeriformes, Osmeridae. The transcript has 3 exons. The record is from RefSeq and is a predicted model, not a curated record.